This is an RNA transcript of Ornithodoros turicata, 2298 nucleotides long. It is a transcript of the gene named calcitonin gene-related peptide type 1 receptor-like, with no coding region annotated. The transcript is spliced from 16 exons. The record is from RefSeq and is a predicted model, not a curated record. Lineage: Eukaryota; Metazoa; Arthropoda; Arachnida; Ixodida; Argasidae.
AACUGCGAUGCCUCCGCCACAUCGCUCUCUUCCUCUCGCGCCGCUGUUGUUCGUAUUCUUAUCGAGCAGCCCAGUGUGUGCUUCACUAGCAGACAAGGCUGGUGUGCCGUCCGAUUACGCAGAAGUACCGCACAGGUGGAUCGUCUUCGUGGAGGACGUCCGCUGAUAACGUUCUGGUGUCUUGCUCGGACCUGGAUGACCAAAGUGCGUCACUCUAUGAAGUGUCGUAUUCCGCGUGUCGUCACAGUUGGUGUCCUGUGAAUUGUGGAACAGGUGGAAGGAGUCUCCCUGUAACGUGAUUCUGAUCGACGUUCGUGAAGAUGAACUGAGCUGACGAAGCCCAUGUGAUGCAACCUGCAGAGGGUCCUGGAUAGCGUCAGGAUUUGGCCGUCUUGGUCUGCCUUCGGUCAUGCAAGGGUUAUCCAUCUGGCUGCUCUUCUUCAUACUGCUUCGAUCGCUGCUUGUGGUGGUUUCCGUUACGGCGCCGGUGUUACAUGGCCGGCACUUCCCGGCAGAGUCUGUGCCCUACACCCCAGGGCCGCCUUUUCAUCAAUCAUCUUUGCACAACGAGACUUGUACACUUCGAGGGGUUCCGCACUCGAUGGAACAUUUCAUGCGUCGGGCAGCAGUUGAGUGCUACAUGUACACUAACGGAUUACGGAAGGAGUUCAAGGGCAAGAUGUGCUACAAAGCACGCUUUCCAAAGAUCUGCCUGAACUGCACCCGGGAAAUGCCGAACAGCGAAGAUGACUGUCAUCUACCAGACAUCGAGGACCGCCAGAGCCCAUUGUUUAAGGCUUUCGAGACCAGGAAGAUAGCCUUAUUAUGGGUGGAGUGCGUGAAAAAAGCGGAGGCCUGCUGUCUGAAAAUGAUUAGCGAUCCACCGAGCAGCCGCGGCACAUACUGCACGCGCACUUGGGACGGUUUGACUUGCUUCGAGGACACAAAGCCAAACACCAAUGUUUCCAAAGUGUGCCCAUCUAUACUCUACAUUCACUCGGCUCCUUACUGCGAAAAUUACCUUACGAAAUGGUGCCACGCUAACGGGUCCUGGUACGAGUGGAACGGAGUACAGCGCACAUUUUAUGCCAGUUGCUCACCAAGGCCCUCGACGUACAUCCCUCUGUACCACUAUGCCAUUGGUCUCUUCUCGGUCUCGGUGGCUGCACUCGUUCCAGCGCUCAUAAUAUUCAACUGGUACAAAACUCUGCAAGUUCCUCGCAUCUCUAUUCAUAAGCACCUAUGCUUCUCGGUGAUGAUGUCAGCUGCGUUUUACAUAAUCGACCAUGCGGUGUUCACAUUAGAUGAUGCUAAGGCAGCCAACCAAUCCAAGAACUAUACCAAGAGAAACCUGUGGUGGUGCAAGGCAGUGAACGUUUUCACGCGAUACUUCAUGGCCAGUCAAUACGCCUGGAUGGUAUGUGAAGGCUUCUACUUGCAUCGUCUAGUAGCUUCCGCCUUCUCACAGCAGACGAAUCUCAUCUACUACUACGGAUUUGGCUGGGGGUUGCCUCUGAUACUGGUCAUCAUCUACUCCUCCCUUAGGGCUACCAUGGCAGACAUAAGAUGUUGGCGGAACAUCACAGAGUACGACUAUGUCUUCAGUGUUCCUAUAAUUGCAUGUCUCUUAAUCAACGUAUUUUUCAUGAUUCAUGUCAUCUACAUACUCGUGACGAAGCUACGGAAAAGCAACUUGAAUGAGAAGUCAAACUUUCAAAAAGUUGUUCGUGCAGUGUUAAUUCUUCUGCCCGUCUUUGGUUCCCAUUACAUCCUCACAACGUUUGUUUCGGCAAAGUCAUGCACUGAGUAUUCCAUCAAACAGUAUGCAGAGUGGACAAUCGUUGGUCUUCAGGGCUUCUUUGUGUCCUUGGUGUUCUGCUACUGCAAUGGUGAAGUUCAGGGCCUACUGCGGAGAUCGUAUGGAAGGGUUAAGACCGACCACUCGCUCAGCCGAAGGCAUCGUCCCAGUUCGCCGAAUACCACAAGUACAGCUGCUAUCUAACGAAUAUUUCACUUAGACACCUCCAUCCAUUUGACUGCACUGCGUUGCUCUCUUACAACAGUCGUUCAACCAUUUGUAGCCUACGAACACAGCUGAAAACGGGUACGUGCUCGCCCCAGCAAAGUGACAUCAGCGUGUUAUGUACGAAGGACGAAUACAUUGGCGAACUUGUAACAGAGACUGCUUUGUGUUGGUGCUGCAGAGUGAAUGGUGGACUCGACUAGUGCAUCACGACACCGCCGAAGAAAGGACUUGCACACGGUGACCAGCGGCGAAUAAACGACAUUUUAGAAGUA